CUCAACUUUAAGUUUCAGCAGACUAUUCUUUUUUCCUUAGCUGCACAGUCACAGUCGGCAGUCCCUUCCCUCACCUUGUUCUCUUCACCUCGUCCCUCUUUGGUAACCCUCACUGAGUCAGUUUCCCAUCUCACCUCUACAUAGAAUCUUCACCCCUCAAUCUUGUCGCAGUACAGGUGAAAGGAAAGCAUAGCUAGCCCCUUGACAUAGCCAAUGCUUAUCCUUCCUACAUCACUGAAGCAGCUCUUCAGAUCUUCGCACUAGGUUUACUUGAACCAAGCCUACAGGCCUUGAGACUUGGUGGGAAUCCAUUAAGAAGAUCAUUCAUUUCGAAGGGAUAGAAAAUCAUUUUUCAAAGGAAGGGUUAAGCGCUCUACUCCUCCUCCUAGGCUAUCUAGUGAAGAAGUUUGGAGGGAAGUAUGUGACCUGCCAAAAAUUUUUUAUGAUCUUGCAUUGGAUAAGUUACCGGGAUUUGGUGUUCAACAUAAUUGGACAAAACAAUGCAUCUUUUGGGAAUUGCCGUAUUGGCGCUCAAAUCUUAUUCGGACAAUUUUGAUGUGAUGCAUAUAGAGAAAAAUGUGUUUGAUAAUAUAUUCAACACAGUAAUGGAUGUCAAGGGUAAAACAAAGGACAAUUUAAAAGCUCGAAGGGAUAUACAAACUUAUUGAAUCGUCCAGUUAUUGAAUUGAAGAAGCACCAUGGGAAAAUUAUAAAGCCAAAAGCAGCCUACACAUUAUCAAAGGAACAAAGAAAAUUGACAUGUGAAUGGGUAAAAAAAUUUAGGCUUCCAGAUGGUUAUGCCUCCAAUUUGUCUAAAUGUGUUGACCUAGGAGAUUGCAAAUUGUCAGGGAUGAAGAGCCAUGAUUGUCAUGUGUUUUUAGAAAGGUUGCUACCAACUGCAUUUCUGGAUUUGAUAUCUGAGCCAAUUUGGAAUGCCUUAACUGAGAUUAGUUUAUUUUUUAAGAGUUUAUGCUCAACAGUGUUACAAGUAGAAGACGUACAGAAGCUUGAACAAAGCAUUGUGUUGACAACAUGCAAGUUGGAGAAAAUAUUUCCGCCUGGUUUCUUUGAUUCCAUGGAACAUUUGUCGAUACAUUUACCAUAUGAAGCAAAAGCUGGUGGUCCAAUUCAAUUUCGGUGGAUAUAUCCAUUUGAGCGAUAAGUUGCUAAAAUAUCCUAUUUGACAAAAUAAUUAAUUUACUUUUAUAAGAUUUUAACUAAAACUAUCUUAAUAUAGGAUGCUACAUGAUCUCAAGAAGAAGGUGAAAAAUAAAGCUCGUGUAGAGGGAUCAAUAUGUGAAGCUUAUCUCAUUCAAGAAACGUCAACAUUCACUUCCUAUUAUUUCCAGCCUCAUGUUCAAACUAGGCUGAACAAAGUUAGUCGAAAUGAUGAUGGAGAUGCAGUUGAUGCACCUGAUGGUUGCUUGCCCAUGUUUCUGCACCCAGGACGUCCGGCUGGAAAGAUGACAGAAAGAUAUUUUUCUGAUGAUGAGUGGGAUGCAGCACGCUUGUAUGUGUUGUUAAAUUGUGAAGAAGUUCAACCAUUUGUACAGUAAGUUAUUAAUUUUGGCAACUUCAUUAAGAUAUAUAGUAUGAGUGGCUAAAAUUUGAUUAUAAUUUAUAUUGCUUUGUAGUAUCUUUGAAGAUGAAUUGAGAAGAAAUUCACCGAACAUUAGUCUUGAACAGAUUGAUAAAGAGACAAAUAGUAGAUUUGCCAAGUGGUUUGAAGCUUAUAUUUUCAGGUUAAGUAAUUAUGCCAAGAGGUAAAGGUCGUAAACGUUUUUCCACUAAUCGAGGAGGCAUAGAUGCAACAUGUAAAAGAGACUCCCCACAUCCACAAUCCACUUCUAAGGUGGUUAUUCCUCAACAAUCAGCCCCUUUAAUGCAAGAUGGUACUUCUAAUCAACCAUUAGCUCCUUCUCCUCAAGAUGGUAGUUCUAAUCAACCAUCAGCCUCUUCAUCUCAAGAUGGUAGUUCCAAUCAACCAUUAGCUCGUUCAUCUCAAGAUGGUAGUUAUAAUCGACCAUUAGCCCCUUCAUCUCAUGAGAGUGGAGCUGAACAGCCUGCACCUACUUCUCAAGUUAUUGGUACUCAACAACAAACACCUACAACUCAUGAGGUUACUCAGUCACAGCCAAGAUAAUGCAUUGUUCGUGGCAUAAGACCAUUGACUGUAAAUGGUGAUACGUUUCACCCACAUGAUGCUGUUCAGGAUGUCACUGAAGCAUUUAAAAAGAACUUCCAUGGCUCAUGGCCUUGUUGGUGCAAGGUUCCAGCUCAUAUUCAGGACCAAUGGUUCAAUCAUUUUCAGAGAAAUUAUUCCAUUAAAGACGAGCAUAAAGAUAUGAUUCGGAAUACAUUUGAGCGUGUGGGGAGUGGAAGGUUGAGUGACACUUUAGGAAAGGCCAAAAAAGCAUUUUAAAAAACGAAGAAAAUACCAAAGUGGAUCAGUCAAAAUCAUUGGGAUGAUUUAAUGAAGUAUUGGAAUACAAUAAAUUUUAAGAAAAUAUCAUCCAUCAACUCAAAGAAUAGAAAGUCGAGCAAUAAUGGAGAAGGUCCAUCCUUACAUACUGGAGGAUCAGUUGCAUUUGAUGAAUAUAGAAGAAGAUAUGUAGGUGUUUAUAAGUUUUAAACAUACUUAUCAUAAUUUAGUUUUCCUUAAAUUAACAUUGAUUAUCUGUUUCAUGAUUAUAGAGAGAGACGACUAAUCAAGUAGUUAGGGAAGAUGAAUUAUACCUGAAGACUCACAGGACAAAAGAUGAUAAGUGGGUUUGUGGGAAGUCAAAAAGAGUCUGGAAUACAUUCACAAGAAAUAUUUAGCAGAUAGUGGGUGAGACAUCAACCACAAGAAAUGAAGAUGGUUCUGAAGUACAGGAAAGAGAUGUGGGAUUAAACAGGGCAACAGAGGAAAGUGAGGCACAAGAAUGCAAUGAAGACAAUAAUAUCUUGACUUUGCUACAGAAUAUCCCAAAGGAGCAAGUGUUGAAUACUUGGAUUGACGCAAUUGGUGGAGCAAAGAAAGGAAGAGUGUAUGGACUUGGCUUAGAGACUUCAGUUCUAGGAGAAUUAACCCAUAUUAGUUCUGUCCACUCUAAUGCUCCAACUCCUUCAACUGUCUCUCCCCAACAAGUUAUUUAAACACCUGAGUUUGAGCAAGCAGUUAAUCAAGUGGUGGAUCAGCGGGUGGAUGAUCAGGUAAAUCAGUGAAUGGAUCAGCGAAUGGAGCUUAUGCAGGCACAUUUUCGUGAGGAAGUAGAAGUAGCAGUCCAUGCUGUCAUGAGCCGCAUGUUUGGUCUCUUUCCACAACCACCAGGAAAUGGCUCUUGUUCUUCCUCAUAACCACCCCUACAUAUUUAGAGUUUAUGCUAUGGCUUUUGAAGUGUAAAAUAUGUUUUGGCUCUAUGUUAUUAUCAUUAGCUUUCGUCUUUGGAAGACAGUAUUACUUUUUGCAAAGUAUGUGUAUGAGUAUUUUGUUGA
This is an RNA transcript of Hevea brasiliensis (rubber tree), 3477 nucleotides long. RefSeq lists it as uncharacterized. The transcript is spliced from 7 exons. NCBI's taxonomy places the organism in Eukaryota, Viridiplantae, Streptophyta, Magnoliopsida, Malpighiales, Euphorbiaceae. The record is from RefSeq and is a predicted model, not a curated record.